CAUAUCAAUAAGCGGAGGAAAAGAAACUAACAAGGAUUCCCCUAGUAACUGCGAGUGAAGCGGGAAAAGCUCAAAUUUAAAAUCUGUCAGUCUUUGGCUGACCGAGUUGUAAUCUAGAGAAGCGUUAUCCGCGCUGGACCGUGUACAAGUCUCCUGGAAUGGAGCGUCAUAGAGGGUGAGAAUCCCGUCUUUGACACGGACUGCCAGGGCUUUGUGAUGCGCUCUCAAAGAGUCGAGUUGUUUGGGAAUGCAGCUCAAAAUGGGUGGUAAAUUCCAUCUAAAGCUAAAUAUUGGCGAGAGACCGAUAGCGAACAAGUACCGUGAGGGAAAGAUGAAAAGAACUUUGGAAAGAGAGUUAAACAGUACGUGAAAUUGCUGAAAGGGAAACGCUUGAAGUCAGUCGCGUUGUCCAGGGAUCAACCUUGCUUUUGCUUGGUGUACUUUCUGGUUGACGGGUCAGCAUCAAUUUUGACUAUUGGAAAAAGAUCAAGGGAAUGUGGCAUCUUUGGAUGUGUUAUAGCCUUUGGUUGCAUACAAUGGUUGGGAUUGAGGAACUCAGCACGCCGCAAGGCCGGGUUUUUUAACCACGUACGUGCUUAGGAUGCUGGCAUAAUGGCUUUAAUCGACCCGUCUUGAAACACGGACCAAGGAGUCUAACAUGCCUGCGAGUGUUUGGGUGGAAAACCCGAGCGCGUAAUGAAAGUGAAAGUUGAGAUCCCUGUCGUGGGGAGCAUCGACGCCCGGACCAGACCUUUUGUGACGGCUCCGCGGUAGAGCAUGUAUGUUGGGACCCGAAAGAUGGUGAACUAUGCCUGAAUAGGGUGAAGCCAGAGGAAACUCUGGUGGAGGCUCGUAGCGAUUCUGACGUGCAAAUCGAUCGUCAAAUUUGGGUAUAGGGGCGAAAGACUAAUCGAACCAUCUAGUAGCUGGUUCCUGCC
Molecule: ribosomal RNA, 938 nt
Filed under: Cortinarius atrolazulinus
Lineage: Eukaryota; Fungi; Basidiomycota; Agaricomycetes; Agaricales; Cortinariaceae
Description: partial large subunit ribosomal RNA
Rfam family: Eukaryotic large subunit ribosomal RNA
Source: RNAcentral